This 468-nucleotide ribosomal RNA is filed under the name uncultured bacterium. RNAcentral's name for it is "partial 16S ribosomal RNA". It matches the Rfam family "Bacterial small subunit ribosomal RNA", at positions 28 to 507 of the family's 1533-position model. The record is from RNAcentral.
GAUGAACGCUGGCGGCGUGCUUAACACAUGCAAGUCGAACGGUGAAGGCGGAGCUUGCUCUGCUGGAUCAGUGGCGAACGGGUGAGUAACACGUGAGCAAUCUGCCCCUGACUCUGGGAUAAGCGCUGGAAACGGCGUCUAAUACUGGAUACGAGCUGCGAAGGCAUCUUCAGCAGCUGGAAAGAACUUCGGUCAGGGAUGAGCUCGCGGCCUAUCAGCUUGUUGGUGAGGUAACGGCUCACCAAGGCGUCGAUGGGUAGCCGGCCUGAGAGGGUGACCGGCCACACUGGGACUGAGACACGGCCCAGACUCCUACGGGAGGCAGCAGUGGGGAAUAUUGCACAAUGGGCGAAAGCCUGAUGCAGCAACGCCGCGUGAGGGACGACGGCCUUCGGGUUGUAAACCUCUUUUAGCAGGGAAGAAGCGAAAGUGACGGUACCUGCAGAAAAAGCGCCGGCUAACUACGUG